Molecule: ribosomal RNA, 253 nt
Filed under: uncultured bacterium
Lineage: Bacteria
Description: partial 16S ribosomal RNA
Rfam family: Bacterial small subunit ribosomal RNA
Source: RNAcentral
UACGGGGGGGGUAAGCGUUGUUCGGAAUUACUGGGCGUAAAGGGCGCGUAGGCGGCCUGUUAAGUCGAACGUGAAAUCCCCGGGCUCAACCCGGGAACUGCGUCCGAUACUGGCAGGCUUGAAUUCGGGAGAGGGAUGCGGAAUUCCAGGUGUAGCGGUGAAAUGCGUAGAUAUCUGGAGGAACACCGGUGGCGAAGGCGGCAUCCUGGACCGAGAUUGACGCUGAUGCGCGAAAGCCAGGGGAGCAAACGGG